CAAACGACUCUCGGCAACGGAUAUCUCGGCUCACGCAUCGAUGAAGAACNNNNCAAAAUGCGAUACUUGGUGUGAAUUGCAGAAUCCCGUGAACCAUCGAGUUUUUGAACGCAAGUUGCGCCCGAAGCCAUUCGGUCGAGGGCACGUCUGCCUGGGCGUCACGC
Molecule: ribosomal RNA, 164 nt
Filed under: Barnadesia polyacantha
Lineage: Eukaryota; Viridiplantae; Streptophyta; Magnoliopsida; Asterales; Asteraceae
Description: 5.8S ribosomal RNA
Rfam family: 5.8S ribosomal RNA
About the family: 5.8S ribosomal RNA (5.8S rRNA) is a component of the large subunit of the eukaryotic ribosome. It is transcribed by RNA polymerase I as part of the 45S precursor that also contains 18S and 28S rRNA.
Source: RNAcentral